AACGCACAUUGCGCCCGCCAGCACUCUGGCGGGCAUGCCUGUCCGAGCGUCAUUUCGCCGCCCAGGCCGGCCGUCUGCUGCUUCGCGCGGCGGGCGGGCGGCCUGGUGGUUGGGGCUGUUCCGGCGUGCCAGCGCGCCGCCGGGCCCCGAAAACCAUCGGCGGACCCCGCCCAGACAAACCCCCCUGGCGCAGUCGCAAAAAGCUCGUCCAGGGGCGGCCGGGCAGGUGUUCCCGUCGUCAGCACGCACCCGACAGCAGGAGGGGGUUUCUCCUCUGGCUGCCGAGCACACACACCAAGACUUUGACCUCGGAUCAGGUAGGACUACCCGCUGAACUUAA
This 340-nucleotide unclassified non-coding RNA is filed under the name uncultured fungus. RNAcentral describes it as "sequence contains ITS2". The record is from RNAcentral. Lineage: Eukaryota; Fungi.